UUGAACGCUGGCGGCAGGCCUAACACAUGCAAGUCGAACGGUAACAGGAAGCAGCUUGCUGCUUCGCUGACGAGUGGCGGACGGGUGAGUAAUGUCUGGGAAGCUGCCUGAUGGAGGGGGAUAACUACUGGAAACGGUAGCUAAUACCGCAUAAUGUCGCAAGACCAAAGAGGGGGACCUUCGGGCCUCUUGCCAUCGGAUGUGCCCAGAUGGGAUUAGCUUGUUGGUGGGGUAACGGCUCACCAAGGCGACGAUCCCUAGCUGGUCUGAGAGGAUGACCAGCCACACUGGAACUGUGACACGGUCCAGACUCCUACGGGAGGCAGCAGUGGGGAAUAUUGCACAAUGGGCGCAAGCCUGAUGCAGCCAUGCCGCGUGUAUGAAGAAGGCCUUCGGGUUGUAAAGUACUUUCAG
RNAcentral lists this ribosomal RNA (414 nucleotides) under uncultured bacterium. Its description in RNAcentral is "bacterial SSU rRNA". It matches the Rfam family "Bacterial small subunit ribosomal RNA", at positions 30 to 439 of the family's 1533-position model. The record is from RNAcentral.